CUAAGAAUAUUCCGCAAUGGACGAAAGUCUGACGGAGCGACGCCGCGUGGAUGAAGAAGGCCGAAAGGUUGUAAAGUUCUUUUGCUAGGGGAGAAUAAGUGAGGGAGGGAAUGCCCUCAUGAUGACAAGGACUAGCGAAUAAGCCACGGCCAACUACGUGCCAGCAGCCGCGGUAACACGUAGGGGGCGAGCGUGGUUCGGAAUUACUGGGCGUAAAGGGCAUGUAGGCGGCUUGGUAAGCCUGGCGUGAAAGACCGCAGCUUAACUGUAGGGAUGCGUUGGGAACUGCUUAGCUUGAGUUACGGAGAGGGGGCCGGAAUUCCUGGUGUAGGGGUGAAAUCUGUAGAUAUCAGGAAGAACACCGAUGGCGAAGGCAAGCUUCUGGUCGAUAACUGACGCUGAGGUGCGAAAGUGUGGGGAUCAAACA
RNAcentral lists this ribosomal RNA (427 nucleotides) under uncultured prokaryote. RNAcentral describes it as "bacterial SSU rRNA". It matches the Rfam family "Bacterial small subunit ribosomal RNA", at positions 355 to 774 of the family's 1533-position model. The record is from RNAcentral.